GAUGCAGCCAUGCCGCGUGAGUGAUGAAGGCCUUCGGGUUGUAAAGCUCUUUCGCGGGGAAGAAAAUGACUGUACCUGUAAAAGAAGGCCCGGCUAACUCCGUGCCAGCAGC
Molecule: ribosomal RNA, 112 nt
Filed under: uncultured Alphaproteobacteria bacterium
Lineage: Bacteria; Pseudomonadati; Pseudomonadota; Alphaproteobacteria
Description: partial 16S ribosomal RNA
Rfam family: Bacterial small subunit ribosomal RNA
Source: RNAcentral